CUCGAGGCCAGAUCUUUCCGGUUGAUCCUGCCGGACCCGACCGCUAUCGGGGUAGGGCUAAGCCAUGGGAGUAGAACGCCCCGCCGCUGCGGGGCGUGGCGGACGGCUGAGUAACACGUGGCUAACCUACCCUCGGGACGGGGAUAACCCCUCGGGAAACUGGGGCUAAUCCCCGAUAGGCGGGGGGUGCCUGGAAGGGUCCUCCGCCGAAAGGGGCCGCGGGGGGUUAUCGCCCGCGGUCCGCCCGAGGAUGGGGCUGCGGCCCAUCACGGUAGUUGGCGGGGUAAUGGCCCGCCAAGCCUACGACGGGUAGGGGCCGUGAGAGCGGGAGCCCCCAGAUGGGCACUGAGACAAGGGCCCAGGCCCUACGGGGCGCACCAGGCGCGAAAACUCCGCAAUGCGGGCAACCGUGACGGGGCUACCCCGAGUGCCCCCCUUGGGGGGGCUUUUCCCCGCUGUAAGUAGGCGGGGGAAUAAGCGGGGGGCAAGACUGGUGUCAGCCGCCGCGGUAAUACCAGCCCCGCGAGCGGUCGGGGUGUUUACUGGGCCUAAAGCGCCCGUAGCCGGCUCGACAAGUCCCCGCCUAAA
This 588-nucleotide ribosomal RNA is filed under the name uncultured archaeon. RNAcentral's name for it is "partial 16S ribosomal RNA". It matches the Rfam family "Archaeal small subunit ribosomal RNA", at positions 1 to 549 of the family's 1478-position model. The record is from RNAcentral.